UACGAAGGGGACUAGCGUUGUUCGGAAUUACUGGGCGUAAAGCGCACGUAGGCGGAUUUGUAAGUCAGGGGUGAAAUCCCGGGGCUCAACCUCGGAACUGCCUUUGAUACUGGAGAGCUUGAGUCCGGAAGAGGUGAGUGGAACUCCGAGUGUAGAGGUGAAAUUCGUAGAUAUUCGGAAGAACACCAGUGGCGAAGGCGGCUCACUGGUCCGGUACUGACGCUGAGGUGCGAAAGCGUGGGGAGCAAACAGG
This 253-nucleotide ribosomal RNA is filed under the name uncultured bacterium. Its description in RNAcentral is "partial 16S ribosomal RNA". It matches the Rfam family "Bacterial small subunit ribosomal RNA", at positions 524 to 776 of the family's 1533-position model. The record is from RNAcentral.